RNAcentral lists this ribosomal RNA (468 nucleotides) under uncultured bacterium. Its description in RNAcentral is "partial 16S ribosomal RNA". It matches the Rfam family "Bacterial small subunit ribosomal RNA", at positions 28 to 507 of the family's 1533-position model. The record is from RNAcentral.
GAUGAACGCUGGCGGCGUGCUUAACACAUGCAAGUCGAACGGUGAAGGCGGAGCUUGCUCUGCUGGAUCAGUGGCGAACGGGUGAGUAACACGUGAGCAAUCUGCCCCUGACUCUGGGAUAAGCGCUGGAAACGGCGUCUAAUACUGGAUACGAGCUGCGAAGGCAUCUUCAGCAGCUGGAAAGAAUUUCGGUCAGGGAUGAGCUCGCGGCCUAUCAGCUUGUUGGUGAGGUAAUGGCUCACCAAGGCGUCGACGGGUAGCCGGCCUGAGAGGGUGACCGGCCACACUGGGACUGAGACACGGCCCAGACUCCUACGGGAGGCAGCAGUGGGGAAUAUUGCACAAUGGGCGAAAGCCUGAUGAAGCAACGCCGCGUGAGGGAAGACGGCCUUCGGGGUGUAAACCUCUUUUAGCAGGGAAGAAGCGAAAGUGACGGUACCUGCAGAAAAAGCGCCGGCUAACUACGUG